Non-coding RNA from Pogona vitticeps (central bearded dragon), 5036 nucleotides. Lineage: Eukaryota; Metazoa; Chordata; Lepidosauria; Squamata; Agamidae. The record is from RefSeq and is a predicted model, not a curated record.
CGCUCCGGACGAGGCCUUUAUGUCUGCGUCCCAGCUGCGCCUGCGCCGCCAGCGCCAUCUUUUGCCACCGCCGCCUCCUCCCCCUUCUUGACUAGAACAGGGAAACCGGGAGGGGAGAGAAGGGGCUGCGGCCGAGCGAAAACCGACGACGACGACGACGACGAGGAGGAGGAGGGGAGCGCAACGCAACGUCGUCGCCGCCGCCGCUUUGCUGCGAGGCCGGCCGGCUGGCCCUGCUACGAGGAAGAGGCAGCAACGCUGGCGCAGGCAGAAGGAAAGAAGGCGGGAGGCCGAACGAGAAGACGCCCCGGCUGCGCUAACCUUGUCCCUGGCGCCUCCCCGCCCUUCCCCAGGAUGCCCCCCGUCUCUUGCUCCUGCUCCCGCCGCCGCUGCCGCCGCCGCUCUUGAUGGCGACGCGUCUGGCGGCCGCCGGCUCCAGCGGGACUCUGCGUCUCAUCUUCGCCACCGCCUCGGCUCCUUCUAGGCUCGGAGGGUCUCCUUGUCGGCUCGGGGGCAGCUGGCGCGGGCUGUUCCCCCCACCCUCUCCUCCUCUCCGGGCAAGUCGGGUGCUUUUAACUGGGGAGAGCUUGGGGCUUGGAGGUGGGGGCCGUCGGAGGCUGUCUGAUUUCGACGAGGGCGGCGGCGAGGGCGAUUAGUCUCCUCCUUCCGCACUAUUCGCGGGGAGGGGGAGCUCGGCUGGGCAACGGAGAAGUGAAUGGUAGGCGCUUGAGAGUCACAUUCCCAGGAGGGGAAGAGAGGAGGAGGAGGAGGAGGAGGGUGCCGCCGACUGGAUUGCCCUGGGAGCGUGUGUGUGUGCGUGUAAGAGAAAGAGAGUGAGUGUGUGUGUGUGUGUGUGUGUGUGUGUCUUUUUCUGGCGCCCUCCCCCUUUCUUCUGGGUCGAGUGCCCCAGCCAGCUGCGAGGAGCGCCUUGUCUCUGCCUGGUCUCUCCCUCUUCCUCUCUCCCUUCAUUUCUGGGGAACUGCGCUCCUUAAAAUAGCACCAGCUAUUCAAUGCACCAGCCUGACUCAGCGGCAGACACGAGUGCGGGGAAGAUGGCGCACCCGGCGAUGCUUCCUCGGAGGGGCAGCAGCAGCAGCAGCAACAACGUCGUGCCGGCUCUGGGCACGGUGGGCGCCAGCAGCGGCAGCCAGGAAGAUUAUUCGCCUCCUUUGCUCGUCCAGCCGCCUCCUCCUCCUCCUCCUCCUGCGGCAGCCUCUUCCUCUUUGCCCGGGCCGCAGCCGCCGCCGCUGGCCCCUCCGCCGCCGCAGAGCUUGACCCUCCUCUCCCAGCCGCCCCCGCCGCCCCAGCCCCUGAGCCAGGCAGGGGCCCAGAUGAAGAAGAAGAGUGGCUUCCAGAUCACCAGCGUGACUCCAGCCCAGAUCUCGGCUAGCCUCAGCUCCAACAACAGCAUUGCUGAGGACACAGAGAGUUAUGACGAUCUGGACGAGUCCCACACGGAGGACCUCUCCUCUUCAGAGAUCUUGGAUGUCUCCUUGUCCAGGGCGACUGACUUGGGAGAACCUGAGCGGAGUUCCUCAGAAGAGACGCUGAAUAACUUCCAGGAGGCUGAAAGCCCCGGGGCUGUUUCGCCCAACCAGCCUCGCCCUCCCCAGCAGCAGCACCACCCAUCUUUGCCACAUCCCCCUCAGCAGCAGAGUGUGGUGAUCAACGGAAGUGUCCAUGGACACCAUUACCACCAUCAUCACCACCACCACCAUCAUGGGCAUCACCAUGGGACCCACUCUGGGAUGGGUGGCCCAGCAGCUCCUGGAGGACCUCCAUCCAGUCCAUCAUUAAGAAAACUGUCUGCAGCUGGAAGUUCUGAAGGUGUAGUAACGGCUGCUUUACAGGUUUCUGCUGCAUCAUCCUCUGGUGCACCUGCAACCAAUGUUGUGUCUCACUUCCGCACUGCUGGUACACCUGGAGUUACUUCUGCCGGUGGAGUUGGUACCAACACCUUGAGCAGUGUAGGUAGUGGAAGCCCUAGCGUGGUGAGCAGCGUGCCCAGUCAUGUGAAUAAGAAUCUGAGUAACAUCCCAUGUACUGGUAGUACAGCUGCUUUGUCAGGAGCAAGUGGCAAUGUGAAUGUUACUGUCUUAAGUGGAGUUAGCAAUGGCAUGGGUGCUUCUUCCACUGCUGUCAGUAACACUGGCAAUUCAGCAUCCUUAUCAGCUAGUCAUCUGCAGCCUGCAACCAGUACCUCGAGGUUUAGAGUUGUGAAGUUGGAUUCCAGUUCAGAGCCUUUCAAGAAAGGCAGAUGGACAUGUACAGAGUUCUAUGACAAAGAAAAUCCUGUAUCUCUUAUGGAAGGGGUGGCAUCCAAUAAAGUGGUAGACACUUUAAAGCAGAACCCACUUGAAGUGACUUCUGAAAGGGAGAGUACCAGUGGGAGUUCAGUUAGCAGCAAUGUAAGCACUCUGAGUCACUAUACAGAAAGUGUGGGAAGUGGGGAGAUGGGAGCAUCUUCUGUGGCACAGCAGCAAGCAUUUCAAGGAGUUGGGGCUCAGCUGAUGGAUCUUAGUAGCACUGGUUCUCAAGCUGUAUCUGCACCUAGUGUACCCCACAGUAUUUCUCAGUCACAGCUUGCACAGGCGCAACUUCAUCCUCAGGAUGCAAGUUACCCACAACAAAAGCAGGGAGUCCAGCCUCCUGGGUCAGCUGUUCCUUCUCCAGUGAAUAUAGCAGGUCAACAGUCUACCAUGCCAGCUGUGGCACCUCAGCAGCAGCUGCCCUACACCCAACCAAUGCAAGCUGUGCAGGCUGUUCCAGUUGUGCCACAACCACAGCCACAGCAGUUAUCGUAUGGGCAGGGACAGGCGCAGCACCCAGCACCACCACCACAACCAGUGCCUAUGCAGAUGGCUCCAGGACAUGUUAAACCAGUGAAUCAAAACUCUGUCACAGGCCCUGUGUCAGAUUACAUGCAACAGCAGCAGCAGCAGCAGCAACAGAUGCUUCAGACUCCAGUUUCAUCUAUGCAGAGUGGUCCUACAGUGGUAGGAACAGGUACAUCCCUACCAGUUGCUCAGGGAGCAAGCAUGCAGCCUUCUCUACAAGCACAUCUGCCAGUGGCAUCCUCUCAGCCUGUUGCACAUGGCCAGGCCCCAGUGCCGACAGUGGGAGCAAAUACUCAAAUGAUGAAUGUUGGGCAACAAGGAAAUGUACCGCCUGCAGUCCAGUCUCAGCAGCCACUGCCUGCUGCCAGCCAGAUUGCUCCUUCAGUGAUGGCGCAAAGUGCUGGUCCUUCUCCUCCUCCUCCUUCACAAGUGGUACCCCCUGUUCCAGCAGGGAUUAUUCAUCCAGGGCAGCAGGGAAGUACACCAGGCAUUUCUCAGCCACUGAUUAUUGCACCGCAGAGUACUUUGCUAUCCAUGCAAGCAGCAGAAUCUCUUGUUCAAGGAAUGACUGGUCAGCAGAUGCCUCCUGUGAGUCCUGUACCUCCUGUUAGUGCUGUCCCUGCCCCGUGCCAUUCUGCUGCCAAUGUGCCCCCUACUCCGAUGAGUUUGGCUUCCUCAAAGACCAUACCACAGUCUUCAAAUGUGCAGAAUGGGAACUUGGUACAAAACGUGUCUCAGCCUUCACUGAUAUCUACUGGCGUCAGUUUGCCUGCAACCCAAAAUGUGCCACAACAGAUACCACUGAACUCUGCUCAGUUUUCUGCACAGUCUCUCGCUCAGUCAAUUGCAACUCGGGAAGAAACUAGGCGCUCUACAGAACCCACCUUGGUUGGCCUACCCCAUCCCACCAGUGGUGAAGGUAGUGUUGGAGCAUCGUCAUCCAUUUCAGAUGGGGGCAGCAGCAUGGCAGCUUCUCUUUUCCCUCUGAAGGUACUUCCAUUGACCUCACAGCUCGUUGAUGGUGAGGAUGAGAGUUGUUUCUUCUAAUUUGCUAAACUCUCUUAACUUCUGACUGGAGAAUGAAUGGCGAAAUGACUUCUUCAGAGGCAACAGACAACACUUUCCCCUGCCUUUAGAGACUGCCAUGAAGGAUGCAUUCCAUAACAUGAAUGCAAAGAGGAGCACAACCCUCCAUCCUUACAGAUGUUGAAUGCCACAUAUCUUCCCCCAUUGCAUCCUUUGAUUUCCCAUUCCUAAUUUUAUUUCGUGACCUUGAGCAUCAAACUGGAUGGAGUGAUAGAGUGGCAGCUGACCAAUGAAUUUGAUACAGAAUGACUGAGUCUAACAUUGCACAAUAGUAUGCCCCUGAAGAGGCUCUGCCAAAGUUAAUUAUAACUAGUGCAAAAGCUGGGAGGUCUGACUGAGCCAAACAGGUAGGUAAAAAUGCUUCAUGUGUGGGAGGGAAACAAUAUAAGUUAACCCAUACUUAGAUUGCAGUUUUGAAGAAUCAUAGGUGAUUCCUUAUGAACAGAAUAGGCAUGCAGGUAGUGUUCACCAUCCUGUAACUGUGUUUGUGGUGAUACUCCCCCUGUUAAAUGUUCUUACCAAGUCUUAUGUGGAUUUGCUGGUUCAACAGGCUUUUAAGAAGAGGUAAGGAAACCCAUUCGACUUUUCCUAAAUAUGUAAGUGAUUUGUUCCACCUUAUUUAGCAGCAGUUCUUGAAGAAACAAUAUUCUUAAAGACAUUUAAAUUAGUGACAAAAUGCAUUCCUGUGUAUAAACACACGUUUAAAAGAAAGAGACAAAAUAAAGCCCAGCUGUUAUUUCUGUAAACGUUACAUCAAAGAUUAGGAAGCAUUUAAGAAAUGACAUGUGAUUGGACAGCUAAUCCGUUUUGAGACUAUGGCCAGGGAUCAGGCCUUCCAUAUAUAAGACAAUGAAUAAUGUCAUGUAGGUAUGAUAGGUUAGCUAAAUUUCAAUAAUGCAAAAUGAUGAUAGAUAAAUUGCAGUGAUGAUAGAUAAAUUGUUUCGCUUGCAAGGGAUCAUGAGAGCUGUUCUCACAAACAAUUUAUGUCCCAAUAUUAUUCUUAUGUAUCACAUUUGUAGUUCAUUAAUACAAUGUAUGCAUGCAUACGUUAUUUGUUUCAAAUAUGUCUAGCAGUGGCUCAGACUACAGUGGUGCCUCGCAUUGCGACGUUAA